RNAcentral lists this transfer RNA (73 nucleotides) under Apaloderma vittatum (bar-tailed trogon). It matches the Rfam family "tRNA". Rfam says of the family: Transfer RNA (tRNA) molecules are approximately 80 nucleotides in length. Their secondary structure includes four short double-helical elements and three loops (D, anti-codon, and T loops). The record is from Rfam by way of RNAcentral. Lineage: Eukaryota; Metazoa; Chordata; Aves; Trogoniformes; Trogonidae.
GGCUGGUUAGCUCUGUUGGUUAGAGCUUGGUGCUGCUAACACUAAGGUCAUGGGUUCGAUCCUGGUUCGGUCC